GAUGAAGUGUCGUAAGGGCAUUUGGUGGAUGCCUUGGCAUGCACAGGCGAAGAAGGACGUGAUACGCUGCGAAAAGCCGUGGGGAGCUGCGAAUAAGCUUUGAUCCAUGGAUCUCCGAAUGGGGCAACCCACCUUAAAUGCUUGGAAAAUUUAAGUCGUGCUGGCCGCCCCCCCCCUGCCCCCAACGUUUGGCGCGCCGUCCGCAGCGCAGCGACCGCAAGGUCGCGUACGGCUUGCACCUCCCCCUUGCGGCGUCCCCAACAGGUUUCCCAAGCAUUGUGAUAAGGUAUCUUGUCUUCGAAUACAUAGGGACAAGAAGCGAACUCGGGGAACUGAAACAUCUAAGUACCCGAAGGAAAGGACAUCAACCGAGACUCCGCAAGUAGUGGCGAGCGAACGCGGACCAGGCCAGUGGCAAUGAGGAAUAAAGCUGAACAGGAUGGAAAGCCUGGCAAGAAUGGGUGAUAGCCCCGUAAGCGUAGAACACUCAUUGUCCUUGAGUAGGGCGGGACACGUGAAAUCCUGUCUGAACAUGGGGAGACCACUCUCCAAGCCUAAGUACUCGUGCAUGACCGAUAGCGAACAAGUACCGUGAGGGAAAGGUGAAAAGCACCCCGACAAGGGGAGUGAAAUAGAACCUGAAACCGGAUGCCUACAAGCAGUCGGAGGGCGCAAGCCUGACGGCGUACCUUUUGUAUAAUGGGUCAACGACUUAGUGUAACUAGCAAGCUUAAGCCGGUAGGUGUAGGCGCAGCGAAAGCGAGUCUGAACAGGGCGUUCAGUUAGUUGCAUUAGACCCGAAACCGAGUGAUCUAGCCAUGAGCAGGCUGAAGGUUGGGUAACACCAACUGGAGGGCCGAACCCGCAUCUGUUGCAAUAGAUUGGGAUGACUUGUGGCUAGGGGUGAAAGGCCAAUCAAACUCGGAGAUAGCUGGUUCUCCGCGAAAUCUAUUUAGGUAGAGCGUCGAUCGAAUACCCCGGGGGGUAGAGCACUGGAUGGGCUAUGGGGACUCACCGUCUUACUGAUCCUAACCAAACUCCGAAUACCCGGGAGUACUAAUCGGCAGACACACGGCGGGUGCUAACGUCCGUCGUGAAGAGGGCAACAACCCUGACCUCCAGCUAAGGUCCCCAAGUCAUGGCUAAGUGGGAAAGGAUGUGAGGAUCCCAAAACAACCAGGAUGUUGGCUUAGAAGCAGCCAUCAUUUAAAGAAAGCGUAACAGCUCACUGGUCUAAAUAAGGGUCUUUGCGCCGAAAAUGUAACGGGGCUAAAGCCAUGCACCGAAGCUGAGGAUGUACACGCAAGUGUACGUGGUAGCGGAGCGUUCCGUAAGUCUGUGAAGGGGUAUCCGUGAGGGCCCUGGAGAUAUCGGAAGUGCGAAUGUUGACAUGAGUAACGACAAAGGGGGUGAGAGACCCCCUCGCCGAAAGACCAAGGGUUCCUGCUUAAAGUUAAUCUGAGCAGGGUUAGCCGGCCCCUAAGGCGAGGCAGAAAUGCGUAGUCGAUGGGAACCACGUUAAUAUUCGUGGGCCUGGUGGUAGUGACGGAUCACGUAGCUUGUAUCUUCUUAUUGGAUUGAAGGUGCAGGGAAGUGGUUCCAGGAAAUAGCUCCACCGUAUAGACCGUACCCGAAACCGACACAGGUGGUCAGGUAGAGUAUACCAAGGCGCUUGAGAGAACUAUGUUGAAGGAACUCGGCAAAUUGCACGCGUAACUUCGGAAGAAGCGUGACCCUCCUUGCGCAAGUAGAUGAGGGUGGCACAGACCAGGGGGUAGCGACUGUUUAUCAAAAACACAGGGCUCUGCGAAGUCGAAAGACGACGUAUAGGGUCUGACGCCUGCCCGGUGCUGGAAGGUUAAAGGGAGAGGUGCAAGCUUUGAACUGAAGCCCCAGUAAACGGCGGCCGUAACUAUAACGGUCCUAAGGUAGCGAAAUUCCUUGUCGGGUAAGUUCCGACCUGCACGAAUGGCGUAACGACUUCCCCGCUGUCUCCAACAUAGACUCAGUGAAAUUGAAUUCCCCGUGAAGAUGCGGGGUUCCUGCGGUUAGACGGAAAGACCCCGUGCACCUUUACUAUAGCUUUACACUGGCAUUCGUGUCGGCAUGUGUAGGAUAGGUGGUAGGCUUUUGAAGCGGGGACGCCAGUCUUCGUGGAGCCAUCCUUGAAAUACCACCCUUAUCGUCAUGGAUGUCUAACCGCGGUCCGUCAUCCGGAUCCGGGACAGUGUAUGGUGGGUAGUUUGACUGGGGCGGUCGCCUCCGAAAGAGUAACGGAGGCGCGCGAUGCAGGGCUCAGACCGGUCGGAAAUCGGUCGUCGAGUGCAAUGGCAUAAGCCCGCCUGACUGCGAGACUGACAAGUCGAGCAGAGACGAAAGUCGGUCAUAGUGAUCCGGUGGUCCCGCGUGGAAGGGCCAUCGCUCAACGGAUAAAAGGUACGCCGGGGAUAACAGGCUGAUGACCCCCAAGAGUCCAUAUCGACGGGGUUGUUUGGCACCUCGAUGUCGGCUCAUCGCAUCCUGGGGCUGGAGCAGGUCCCAAGGGUUUGGCUGUUCGCCAAUUAAAGCGGUACGUGAGCUGGGUUCAGAACGUCGUGAGACAGUUCGGUCCCUAUCUGCCGUGGGUGUAGGAAUAUUUGAUGGAUCUGUCCCAGUACGAGAGGACCGGGAUGGACACAUCUCUGGUGGACCUGUUGUCGUGCCAUCGGCAUAGCAGGGUAGCUAUAUAUGGAAGGGAUAACAGCUGAAGGCAUCUAAGCGGGAAACCCACCUGAAACGAGUAUUCCCCCUUAUCAGGGCCGUGGUAGACGACCACGUUGAUAGGAUAGCGUGUGACGCAGCAAUGUAUGAAGCUUAGCCUACUAAUAGCCCGAUCGACUUCAUCGU
Molecule: ribosomal RNA, 2886 nt
Filed under: Neorhizobium sp.
Lineage: Bacteria; Pseudomonadati; Pseudomonadota; Alphaproteobacteria; Hyphomicrobiales; Rhizobiaceae
Description: 23S ribosomal RNA
Rfam family: Bacterial large subunit ribosomal RNA
Source: RNAcentral